Molecule: RNase P RNA, 312 nt
Filed under: Methanosarcinales archaeon
Lineage: Archaea; Methanobacteriati; Methanobacteriota; Methanomicrobia; Methanosarcinales
Description: RNase P RNA component
Rfam family: Archaeal RNase P
About the family: Ribonuclease P (RNase P) is a ubiquitous endoribonuclease, found in archaea, bacteria and eukarya as well as chloroplasts and mitochondria. Its best characterised activity is the generation of mature 5'-ends of tRNAs by cleaving the 5'-leader elements of precursor-tRNAs.
Source: RNAcentral
GAGAGAGGAGGAGGCGGCUUCCGCAACUUUUGGUCAAGCUUUUGCUUGCAAAAGGUUGCGAGGAAAGUCCCCCCACCGCUGAACAUACGAGUGCGUGCAAGCGCACAGGGCGAGAGUCCUGGCUCUGGCGCAGAAACGAUACCACGCUGCGUGAAUACAAUGAUACAUUAAUGUUGAGGCUGCGCAGAUUGUGGGUGAAACGGCGAAUCCUCGUAGGUGCAAGCCAAAAGAUGGGCAAAAGUUCAGCUAAUGCCCUGGUAUGGCGCUUAGACGAAUGCCGUCGAAACCAAAGGGGGCUUACCCUCCCCACUC